CACUGAACUAACUCAUAAGUUUUUUAAACUCUCCAGUCAUAAUUUCAAAAAAGAGCUCUGAAAAUGCAAAUCAUAUGAGUUCUAAACAUUCAUACAUGAAUUUAGUUCCAUCUGGGAUAGAAUUUAUGAGUUUGCCGUUUGUGUCUGUCAUAAUAUUUGAGUUAGCUAUGAUUUUACGUCAUGACGUCAUCGAACGUUCUGUCUGCUGGACGCAUGGAGUUGGAAAAUUCAAGAUGGCUGGCUGAAGCGGAGAAGAUUGUGGCGCAAAAUUUUGUUUAACGCAGCUAAGUUCGCCGUUUCUGAGAACCUGUGGUGCUAGCAAGUUGAAGUCCACGUGGUGCCGCGGACCGCGCAGAUCAGCAAUCUGCUCCCCAGAUAGUGAAAAGUGUGGCAGCACUGCCCCUCAUUUGUUACCGUCUUUGGAUAAAGAGGAAGUUUGAAGUUUGAUUUUGUGCAACACAUUGGAUCAGACGUUCACAGU
Boleophthalmus pectinirostris (great blue-spotted mudskipper) is the source of this 481-nucleotide long non-coding RNA. RefSeq lists it as uncharacterized. The transcript has 4 exons. NCBI's taxonomy places the organism in Eukaryota, Metazoa, Chordata, Actinopteri, Gobiiformes, Gobiidae. The record is from RefSeq and is a predicted model, not a curated record.